RNAcentral lists this ribosomal RNA (1238 nucleotides) under Escherichia coli. RNAcentral describes it as "partial 23S ribosomal RNA". It matches the Rfam family "Bacterial large subunit ribosomal RNA", at positions 504 to 1744 of the family's 2925-position model. Lineage: Bacteria; Pseudomonadati; Pseudomonadota; Gammaproteobacteria; Enterobacterales; Enterobacteriaceae. The record is from RNAcentral.
UGAGGGAAAGGCGAAAAGAACCCCGGCGAGGGGAGUGAAAAAGAACCUGAAACCGUGUACGUACAAGCAGUGGGAGCACGCUUAGGCGUGUGACUGCGUACCUUUUGUAUAAUGGGUCAGCGACUUAUAUUCUGUAGCAAGGUUAACCGAAUAGGGGAGCCGAAGGGAAACCGAGUCUUAACUGGGCGUUAAGUUGCAGGGUAUAGACCCGAAACCCGGUGAUCUAGCCAUGGGCAGGUUGAAGGUUGGGUAACACUAACUGGAGGACCGAACCGACUAAUGUUGAAAAAUUAGCGGAUGACUUGUGGCUGGGGGUGAAAGGCCAAUCAAACCGGGAGAUAGCUGGUUCUCCCCGAAAGCUAUUUAGGUAGCGCCUCGUGAAUUCAUCUCCGGGGGUAGAGCACUGUUUCGGCAAGGGGGUCAUCCCGACUUACCAACCCGAUGCAAACUGCGAAUACCGGAGAAUGUUAUCACGGGAGACACACGGCGGGUGCUAACGUCCGUCGUGAAGAGGGAAACAACCCAGACCGCCAGCUAAGGUCCCAAAGUCAUGGUUAAGUGGGAAACGAUGUGGGAAGGCCCAGACAGCCAGGAUGUUGGCUUAGAAGCAGCCAUCAUUUAAAGAAAGCGUAAUAGCUCACUGGUCGAGUCGGCCUGCGCGGAAGAUGUAACGGGGCUAAACCAUGCACCGAAGCUGCGGCAGCGACGCUGAUGCGUUGUUGGGUAGGGGAGCGUUCUGUAAGCCUGCGAAGGUGUGCUGUGAGGCAUGCUGGAGGUAUCAGAAGUGCGAAUGCUGACAUAAGUAACGAUAAAGCGGGUGAAAAGCCCGCUCGCCGGAAGACCAAGGGUUCCUGUCCAACGUUAAUCGGGGCAGGGUGAGUCGACCCCUAAGGCGAGGCCGAAAGGCGUAGUCGAUGGGAAACAGGUUAAUAUUCCUGUACUUGGUGUUACUGCGAAGGGGGGACGGAGAAGGCUAUGUUGGCCGGGCGACGGUUGUCCCGGUUUAAGCGUGUAGGCUGGUUUUCCAGGCAAAUCCGGAAAAUCAAGGCUGAGGCGUGAUGACGAGGCACUACGGUGCUGAAGCAACAAAUGCCCUGCUUCCAGGAAAAGCCUCUAAGCAUCAGGUAACAUCAAAUCGUACCCCAAACCGACACAGGUGGUCAGGUAGAGAAUACCAAGGCGCUUGAGAGAACUCGGGUGAAGGAACUAGGCAAAAUGGUGCCGUAACUUCGGGAGAA